AACAUUGUGUUAGAUUCCAACUACGUGAGCAAACUCAAUGACUUUGGAAUAUUUCGUAUACUUAACCAAAACGAAUUCUCCAGCAACAACACCGCAGUCUGUUGGAUAACUAGUCCAAUGGGCAUUUUUACGUAUAUAUUGAUCCUUCAUUUGUCGCCACUGGAGAACCUACUCCAAAAUCAGAUGUUUACUCAUUCGGGAUCAUCUUGUUGCGGUUAUUGACCGGAAGACCAUCUUUGGGGAUAGCCGAGGAAGUAAAGGGUGCGUUGGAUAAAGGGGACUUUAAAAACUUGUUGGAUCUAACGGCUGGGGACUGGCCUUUUGAGGAAUCCCAGCAGUUGGCUCACAUAGCAAUGAGGUGCUGUGAGUUGAACCGUCACAACCGGCCGGAUCUUGCCUCAGAUGUGAGGAGGGUGCUCCAAGGAAUGGGAGUGUCGAAAUAUACUCGUGAGCGCAAUCGAGUACCUGAGGGUAAUCCAGGAUAUGCCAAUGAAAUUGACAUUGAGAUCGAAAAGAUGUGUUGGAAGGGGUUAAACCAGCCACUCAUGCGCUUGUGGCUAGGAAGGAAGAACUGAAGGCCAUGCAAAGUAACUCCCCUUCAUGUAGAAGCUCAGUUAGUCUUUUGUUUUUGUUACAAAGCUCUUGUACCCAUUGAAUGUUUUAAUUUGUUUGG
Long non-coding RNA from Rhododendron vialii, 673 nucleotides. RefSeq lists it as uncharacterized. The record is from RefSeq and is a predicted model, not a curated record. The transcript is spliced from 3 exons. NCBI's taxonomy places the organism in Eukaryota, Viridiplantae, Streptophyta, Magnoliopsida, Ericales, Ericaceae.